This 500-nucleotide ribosomal RNA is filed under the name uncultured bacterium. RNAcentral's name for it is "partial 16S ribosomal RNA". It matches the Rfam family "Bacterial small subunit ribosomal RNA", at positions 30 to 523 of the family's 1533-position model. The record is from RNAcentral.
AUUGAACGCUGGCGGCAGGCUUAACACAUGCAAGUCGAGCGGGGGAAGGUAGCUUGCUACUGGACCUAGCGGCGGACGGGUGAGUAAUGCUUAGGAAUCUGCCUAUUAGUGGGGGACAACAUCUCGAAAGGGAUGCUAAUACCGCAUACGUCCUACGGGAGAAAGCAGGGGAUCUUCGGAUCUUGCGCUAAUAGAUGAGCCUAAGUCGGAUUAGCUAGUUGGUGGGGUAAAGGCCUACCAAGGCGACGAUCUGUAGCGGGUCUGAGAGGAUGAUCCGCCACACUGGGACUGAGACACGGCCCAGACUCCUACGGGAGGCAGCAGUGGGGAAUAUUGGACAAUGGGGGGAACCCUGAUCCAGCCAUGCCGCGUGUGUGAAGAAGGCCUUAUGGUUGUAAAGCACUUUAAACGAGGAGGAGGCUACUUUAGUUAAUACCUAGAGAUAGUGGACGUACUCGCAGAAUAAGCACCGGCUAACUCUGUGCCAGCCGCCGCAGUAA